This 111-nucleotide ribosomal RNA is filed under the name Maribellus luteus. Lineage: Bacteria; Pseudomonadati; Bacteroidota; Bacteroidia; Marinilabiliales; Prolixibacteraceae. RNAcentral also lists the same sequence under 2 other names. The record is from RNAcentral.
UUAGGUGGCUACAGCGGCGGGGCACCACCUCUUCCCAUUCCGAACAGAGAAGUUAAGCCCGCCAGCGCCGAUGGUACUGCGUAACAGUGGGAGAGUAGGUCGCUGCCAACU